CCGUUGCAAAAUUAUUUUAUGUCAUAUAUUCUGGGGGCACAAAGUUAUUUGAAUAUUUUUAUCUCUCCAGAAUAUUCACACUGUCCAGCGAUGAAACUCUUAGACUCUUAAACCCUCAUCUCUUUCCAUCUUGGGCACAGACAUUCACACUUCUUUUUUUCUGAAAAUAUUUUUAGGGAUUCAACCGGAUUUGUUUUGAACUCUUUUGUUUUCUCUUUCUUUUCAGUAGCUCAACCUUCAAACUUUUGAGUAAUCGUCAAUCUUUCCUUACUAAUCUUUCAUUAACAACUAACUUUCAUUGUUUGUGACUGCUGACUACCGACUCAUUCUCUCCGCUAAUAGACAUCUGCUGCUAUAACCUUAUCAUCAAGAUCUGGUUGAUAUUCGCUCGAAGUAAUCCUUGCUUUCCAUUUGCUGGUGAAGUGUAGUAUUUGGCUCCAAUUUUCUUUUCUUCCUUUAAUUCUUCGCACGUGGAAAAGUGUUAUUUGUACUGUCCACGUGGGGAUUCUGAUCGAUCCCUCCGCUAGGAUUCGAGGUUCCGCUAUGAGUUGGGUACCUACGCCCAUGAGAUGGCACAAAAAAAGAUAGGCAUGGAUCCGGGGGAAGGUACCAGUCAUUCCCCAUUGGGUAAGAGGGAUAAAGUUCCCUUAGAGGCACACAGUGAAUCUCUUGCACCCCUAGUUCCAGCUUUCCUGGCACCUGCUGAAGCACAAGGAGAUAUAGUGCCCUUAGCCCCACUGGUUCCAUUGUACCUGAGGCAGCUAUGGACACAAAACCUCCAAUACCUAUUUUUUCCCUUACCAGAAACUGGGGAGUAGGGGAUGAGGAAGGCGAUUCAAUUGCUAACUAUGAUGGUUGCUAUUCAUGAGCGACAACUAGAAUCGGGAGUAGAUGCUAGGAGAGAUCGAGCAGAAAGCUCGAAGGUACGAGAGUUUCUGGCUCCUCCAUUAUUUAUGGGAUUCAGUUCCACCGAGGACCGUAGGACUUGAUAGAACAAGUGUUAGAGUACUGAGGGAGUGAGGGUGAUGCAUGUUUUCAUCACUAAUGCUGUGGAGUUGGCCUUUUUUGGCUACAUGAUGUAGCCGUUCUAUGGUAUGAGGCAUGGGAGAGAUUCAGAGGACCUGAUGCUCCACCAGAAGAGUGGAGGACUUCUUUGAGGCUUCCUGGCCCAUUAUUUGCCAUGGGAGGUUUGGAAGGUCCUUCUUGACCAGUUUAUCAGUGAGGCAAGGUGAUGUGAGUGUGAGAAAUUAUAACCAUAGGUUUAAUUCUUUGGUGAGGUAUGCACUAGAUAUAGUACAUACCAAGAGGGCCUGAGUUCAUUAUUAUGUAGUUGGUUUGGGGGAUCAUCUGAUCAGAGACUGUAUGGCGGUAUCAUCCUUGUAGAUAUUUCCAGCAUGUAGGCUUCGCUCAGACUAAAGAGUACCUUUUUCGCUAGCUUUGAGAUAUCUGCAAAGAGUAAGAGGGCCCGUACUAUGGGGUCUUAUAGGAAGCCACAUGAUGAUUUUAGGCUUCCACUCCCUUGGUAUACACCCCGCCCAGCAGGUAGUUUUCCGCCACAGAUGUAGGGCCAGCAGUUUGAUCAAUAUAGUUAGUCAAGACCGAGGCAAAGCUCAAGUCGUCCUAAGGGCCGUUGACAAGAGAGUUCCGGGCAGAUGAGAUAGCCUACUACUUCAUGUAUGCAGUGCAAUAAGCUGCACGCCGGAUAGUGUAUACUGGGUUUAGAUGCAUGUUAUCACUGUUCAAACAUGACAUUUUAUUAGCCGGUGCCCGAGGUUGGAUAGAGGUGAGCCAACUCAACCUUUAGGAUCUGCAACAGACCCUUCACCUUAAGCCCCUCAGGGCCGUGGUAGGGAGAAAUAUGGAGGAAACACCUCAGAUUCCAGAGGUAUCUGAAUUCAGAGUGAAUUGUAUAAUAGUGAAUUAAAAUUUACAUAAUAAUGAAUUUAUUUAUAUGCAUACAUAAAUUGUAUAUGUACCUUAUAUAAAAUUGUAUAAUAGUGAAUUAAAAUGUAUCAAUAUUAAAUAAAA
Molecule: long non-coding RNA, 2028 nt
Organism: Solanum dulcamara
Lineage: Eukaryota; Viridiplantae; Streptophyta; Magnoliopsida; Solanales; Solanaceae
Exons: 5
Source: RefSeq, a predicted model, not a curated record